This 595-nucleotide ribosomal RNA is filed under the name Shewanella putrefaciens. RNAcentral's name for it is "bacterial SSU rRNA". It matches the Rfam family "Bacterial small subunit ribosomal RNA", at positions 68 to 655 of the family's 1533-position model. Lineage: Bacteria; Pseudomonadati; Pseudomonadota; Gammaproteobacteria; Alteromonadales; Shewanellaceae. The record is from RNAcentral.
AGCACAAGGGAGUUUACUUCUGAGGUGGCGAGCGGCGGACGGGUGAGUAAUGCCUAGGGAUCUGCCCAGUCGAGGGGGAUAACAGUUGGAAACGACUGCUAAUACCGCAUACGCCCUACGGGGGAAAGGAGGGGACCUUCGGGCCUUCCGCGAUUGGAUGAACCUAGGUGGGAUUAGCUAGUUGGUGAGGUAAUGGCUCACCAAGGCGACGAUCCCUAGCUGUUCUGAGAGGAUGAUCAGCCACACUGGGACUGAGACACGGCCCAGACUCCUACGGGAGGCAGCAGUGGGGAAUAUUGCACAAUGGGGGAAACCCUGAUGCAGCCAUGCCGCGUGUGUGAAGAAGGCCUUCGGGUUGUAAAGCACUUUCAGUAGGGAGGAAAGGGUGUAGUUUAAUAAACUAUAUCUGUGACGUUACCUACAGAAGAAGGACCGGCUAACUCCGUGCCAGCAGCCGCGGUAAUACGGAGGGUCCGAGCGUUAAUCGGAAUUACUGGGCGUAAAGCGUGCGCAGGCGGUUUGUUAAGCGAGAUGUGAAAGCCCUGGGCUCAACCUAGGAAUAGCAUUUCGAACUGGCGAACUAGAGUCUUGUAGA